Molecule: ribosomal RNA, 466 nt
Filed under: uncultured bacterium
Lineage: Bacteria
Description: partial 16S ribosomal RNA
Rfam family: Bacterial small subunit ribosomal RNA
Source: RNAcentral
GACCAGACUCCUACGGGAGGCAGCAGUGAGGAAUAUUGGUCAAUGGGCGUAAGCCUGAACCAGCCAAGUCGCGUGAGGGACGACGGCCCUACGGGUUGUAAACCUCUUUUGCCGGGGGACAAACGGCGGCACGCGUGCCGUCCUGAGGGUACCCGGAGAAAAAGCAUCGGCUAACUCCGUGCCAGCAGCCGCGGUAAUACGGAGGAUGCGAGCGUUAUCCGGAUUUAUUGGGUUUAAAGGGUGCGUAGGUGGUUAAUUAAGUCAGCGGUGAAAGUUUGUGGCUCAACCAUAAAAUUGCCGUUGAAACUGGUUGACUUGAGUAUAGUUGAGGUAGGCGGAAUGCGUGGUGUAGCGGUGAAAUGCAUAGAUAUCACGCAGAACUCCGAUUGCGAAGGCAGCUUACUAAACUAUAACUGACACUGAAGCACGACAGCGUGGGGAUCAAACAGGAUUAGAUCCCCCGGUA